GAGUUUGAUCAUGGCUCAGAUUGRACGCUGGCGGCAGGCCUAACACAUGCAAGUCGAGCGGUAACAUUUCUAGCUUGCUAGAAGAUGACGAGCGGCGGACGGGUGAGUAAUGCUUGGGAACAUGCCUUUAGGUGGGGGACAACCAUUGGAAACGAUGGCUAAUACCGCAUAAUGUCUACGGACCAAAGGGGGCUUCGGCUCUCGCCUUUAGAUUGGCCCAAGUGGGAUUAGCUAGUUGGUGAGGUAAUGGCUCACCAAGGCGACGAUCCCUAGCUGGUUUGAGAGGAUGAUCAGCCACACUGGAACUGAGACACGGUCCAGACUCCUACGGGAGGCAGCAGUGGGGAAUAUUGCACAAUGGGCGCAAGCCUGAUGCAGCCAUGCCGCGUGUGUGAAGAAGGCCUUCGGGUUGUAAAGCACUUUCAGUUGUGAGGAAAGGUUAGUAGUUAAUACCUGCUAGCUGUGACGUUAGCAACAGAAGAAGCACCGGCUAACUCCGUGCCAGCAGCCGCGGUAAUACGGAGGGUGCGAGCGUUAAUCGGAAUUACUGGGCGUAAAGCGUACGCAGGCGGUUUGUUAAGCGAGAUGUGAAAGCCCCGGGCUCAACCUGGGAACUGCAUUUCGAACUGGCAAACUAGAGUGUGAUAGAGGGUGGUAG
Molecule: ribosomal RNA, 658 nt
Filed under: uncultured Pseudoalteromonas sp.
Lineage: Bacteria; Pseudomonadati; Pseudomonadota; Gammaproteobacteria; Alteromonadales; Pseudoalteromonadaceae
Description: bacterial SSU rRNA
Rfam family: Bacterial small subunit ribosomal RNA
Source: RNAcentral